AUGUGUCCAAUGGAGUUAAAUGGUCCUCCAUUUGGUCAACCAACAACUCCAGCACCUGUUGAGCAAUCUCAUGUGCAAGUGCCCACACAAGAUGAGUUUGAUGACAUAGACAAGCUCACAUUGCUUAGUCUCGAGUUCACUUGGAGUGCUGAAGAUGAUCCAAUUAGGCCGGUGAUACUAGAUGAAAUGAAGAAGAUCAAGAGUGGAAAGGAACUAGUCGAAGAAGUAAGGAAGAUUGAGAAGAACAUCAAUGCUGGUAGCACUAUUUCUUCACAGCUAGAGCUGAGUAUUUCUGGGAUAUCCUUUGAUACAUGUGAGGUUCCAACACCAUCACAUCCAGCUGAGCAAGAUAGCAAGAGUCCAGAGGAAGAGAGACCUCAGAUUGAAGAUGAACUAGAAGACAAGGAACAAGAUGAUCAAGAGCUGCAAUUUCCAAGUGAUCAAGUUGAAGACUCAUCAUCUACUACUCCUGAAGAAUUACUUUCCUCGUGCUAG
Molecule: ribosomal RNA, 495 nt
Filed under: Triticum aestivum (bread wheat)
Lineage: Eukaryota; Viridiplantae; Streptophyta; Magnoliopsida; Poales; Poaceae
Description: partial small subunit ribosomal RNA
Source: RNAcentral